Non-coding RNA from Phoenix dactylifera (date palm), 2231 nucleotides. The record is from RefSeq and is a predicted model, not a curated record. NCBI's taxonomy places the organism in Eukaryota, Viridiplantae, Streptophyta, Magnoliopsida, Arecales, Arecaceae.
UGAGAAUGAGCUUAUGAAACUAAAGGAGAAACUUGCAGAGGCCGAAGUGUCCAUGAGGAAGCUCUCCCAAGCAGUGAAUGGAGCUUCUGGCUACAACGGUGGCGGCGGCGAGGGUGAGGGCAGCCCUACCUCGUCCUUCUCAACAGUUACUUACCAUCCUCUAGUUGGAGAAUUUGGGGUGGAUGGAGAAGCUGACCUCAUGUACAUACCAGAGUAUAAUUUUAGUAACUACAUGAUGGAGUGGGGUAAUCUCUUUGGAAUGUAAGAAACCAUUAUCAGUACUGUCAUAAUUUCGUGAUUAAUCCGUGUAAAUUAUGUCAUUUUCGCUAUUUUAAGUAUUUUGACUGAUAGAAUCCUUCUCUAGUCAUUGAACUUGUAAGUACACUUGAAGUAGGUUCUAAUUUGUUGUAAUUGUUUGCUCUCAAUGUAAUUCUAGCUGCAGUAGCUUCCAAAGUUUUAUGAGAAAAAGAAGUAUAUAGUUGUAUAUCUCUUCUUUUUAUUUUUGUAAAUUCAAAGCUGGCAGCUUAUAAGAACAAAGCUCUGGGUAUCCUCCACUGACCAUGUUUUAAAUCCUUAAGAACAAGUAGGUUACUUUUCUGGUAAACGUUUUGCUUCUAAAUGAGAAAUAAAAAAAAGAAAGCACUGCGUUCUACAUUUUUUUAGUUAUUCUUUCUUUUUUUUAAAGUCAAGCUGGCAGCUCAUAUUAACAAAGUUCUUUUAAACCAUAUUCUCCUGGCAAUGCUCUAACUUUCAGUCCAAACUGCAGUAUUUACCAUGUUGCUAACAUGAGGCCUAUGCUGUUUGAUGUGGAUUUGAAGGUUCAAGCAAGUUAUCAAGGUGAGCAUGUUCCUCUGGUUUCUCUGAUGAGCAGAUUGAAUGGCAAAGCAAUUAUAGGACACCCUGUUCAAAUUGAAAUACUCAAAGAAGAACUGAUCCACUUGUUUCUAGAAAUCUUUUUGGUCUGGAUGAAAAUACAGCAUGCCCACCCUGUUAGCCUUGGAGGUUGCAAUUCUUCUGGUUCAUUUAUUCAUAGUGGUUUUUCACCUUCUGUUACAGCAUCCUCCUCUGCUGGAGUUCUUAGGCAGAUACCUUGCAGAGUUGAGCUUACUUGACUAUGGCUGUGUUCAGUUCUUGCCAUCAGUAGCUGCUGCUUCAGCUCUUUUUUGUUGCAAGAUUGACUGUUAAUCGAAAAUCCAACCCUUGGAACAAAAUACUUCAACACUGCAGUGAUUAUAGGCCGUCUGAGCUAAAGUAGUGCAUUCAUGCCAUACAUGAUUUGCAAUUGAACAAGAAAGGAUCCUCUUUGUUGGCUAUUAGAGAGAAGUACAAGCAGCAUAGGUUAAAGUGUGUAUCUGCAUUGCUUCCUCCCUCAGAGAUUCCUGCGUCAUAUUUUGAAGACCUCAAAGAAUAAUUUUCACAAGGAGAAUUGUGAUGUGGGACCGAAAGAAUUGAUGCUCCGUGAUUAGAUAACCUGAAGCUGGAAAAUGGAUGAUUCAAGCGAGAUACCUGAAGCUCCUGCAAUGUCUUUGAAAUUUUCCAUCUUACCUUCAUACCUUGCUCCGAGGAUGCAGACGAGAAACACAGAGGAGAUCUUUUGCUCCAGAAGCCAUCAAAACUUGCUGGGCAUUGUUCCUUCUAACUUAAAAGAAGUAAUCAAACUUUGGCAUUGACAUCACUAGAUUUUAUGUAUCAUAAACCUCGCAACAAGAAGUCUUUUAAGGCAUCAUUUUUGUAUGAUUUAGAAUCUUUCACUCAAUCUCCAAGAUGGAAUUGUACCCAAUCAAGAUCCUCCUUUUUUAUGUUUAAGCAUAAUAAUAUGUUAAUCCUUGUUCAUUGUCUAUUUAGAUGUUUUAUAAUUGUCGUCUGAAAUUGAGUUGCUGUGUGAUAGUUGAGCCUCUUAAGAAGACAUCUGUGUCUUUUUCAAGGGACACAGCCUUGGAUGGUGAAGAUGCUGGUGGUCUUCAAUAUAGAGACAGAGAAAGCAAACCUCAAGUUCACAACUACCAGAAGUUCGCAACCCAUAGGUUUGACUAUGCCGACGCUUUUAAGCGUCGGCAUAGUCCAAAACAAAAUACGGCAUGAAGCGUGGGUUGAAGUACGCCGACGCUUUUAAGCGUCGGGUUUGUAUAAAAUGAACGACGCUUAAAAGCGUCGGCAUAGUCAAACACAAAAUACGGUGGGAAGCGUCGGUUGAAGUACGCCGACGCUUUUAAGCGUCGGGUUUGUAUAAC